RNAcentral lists this ribosomal RNA (253 nucleotides) under uncultured bacterium. Its description in RNAcentral is "partial 16S ribosomal RNA". It matches the Rfam family "Bacterial small subunit ribosomal RNA", at positions 524 to 776 of the family's 1533-position model. The record is from RNAcentral.
UACGUAGGGUGCGAGCGUUGUCCGGAAUUACUGGGCGUAAAGAGCUCGUAGGUGGUUUGUCGCGUUGUUCGUGAAAUCUCACGGCUUAACUGUGAGCGUGCGGGCGAUACGGGCAGACUGGAGUACUGCAGGGGAGACUGGAAUUCCUGGUGUAGCGGUGAAAUGCGUAGAUAUCGGAAGGAACAUCAGUGGCGAAAGCGACUUCCUGGACCAGUACCGACGUUCAGGCACGAAAGCGUGGGGAGCAAGCAGG